Molecule: small nucleolar RNA, 145 nt
Organism: Mus pahari (shrew mouse)
Lineage: Eukaryota; Metazoa; Chordata; Mammalia; Rodentia; Muridae
Product: small nucleolar RNA SNORA48
Exons: 1
Source: RefSeq, a predicted model, not a curated record
UGCCCCCUGGCAAUCAGCAAAGAGACACCUAGUUGGUGGUGUCAUUCUUAUAUCAGUCAAGGCCAGAGCAGAUGACAGUCCUUUAUUUAUCCUAGCUUGAUGACUGGCAAGGUGGUCAAAGCAGGUUUAUGUACAGAACACAUAA